UAAACAACCUGCCUUCAGGAUGGGGACAACAGACGGAAACGACUGCUAAUACCGAAUACGUUCCACGGGCCGCAUGACCUGUGGAAGAAAGGGUAGCCUCUACCUGUAAGCUAUCGCCUGAAGAGGGGUUUGCGUCUGAUUAGGCAGUUGGUGGGGUAACGGCUCACCAAACCAACGAUCAGUAGCCGGUCUGAGAGGAUGAACGGCCACACUGGAACUGAGACACGGUCCAG
RNAcentral lists this ribosomal RNA (233 nucleotides) under uncultured bacterium. Its description in RNAcentral is "partial 16S ribosomal RNA". It matches the Rfam family "Bacterial small subunit ribosomal RNA", at positions 118 to 334 of the family's 1533-position model. The record is from RNAcentral.